This 570-nucleotide ribosomal RNA is filed under the name uncultured bacterium. Its description in RNAcentral is "bacterial SSU rRNA". It matches the Rfam family "Bacterial small subunit ribosomal RNA", at positions 68 to 597 of the family's 1533-position model. The record is from RNAcentral.
GACCUUGCUUUUUUGGAGUACUUGUACAAAGAAAAAGCGCUGGUUAGUGGCGGACGGGUGAGUAACACGUGGGUAAUUAACCUUCUAGACUGGGAUAACAACGGGAAACUGGUGCUAAUACCGGAUAAGAUUCAUGAGCGGCAUCGCUUAUGGAUGAAAAGAGGCCUCUCCAUGGAAGCUCCUGCUAGAAGACAAGCCCGCGGCUGAUUAGCUAGUUGGUGAGGUAAUGGCUCACCAAGGCAACGAUCAGUAGCCGGCCUGAGAGGGUGAACGGCCACACUGGGACUGAGACACGGCCCAGACUCCUGCGGGAGGCAGCAGUGGGGAAUAUUGCGCAAUGGGGGAAACCCUGACGCAGCAACGCCGCGUGAAUGAAGAAGGCCUUCGGGUUGUAAAGUUCUGUCAAUUGGGAAGAAACCUCCAAGGUAAAUAGUCUUGGAGAUGACGGUACCUAAAAAGGAAGCUCCGGCUAACUACGUGCCAGCAGCCGCGGUAAUACGUAGGGAGCAAGCGUUAUCCGGAAUUACUGGGCGUAAAGGGCGUGUAGGCGGCCAAUUAAGCUAGGUGUAA